This 487-nucleotide ribosomal RNA is filed under the name uncultured bacterium. RNAcentral describes it as "partial 16S ribosomal RNA". It matches the Rfam family "Bacterial small subunit ribosomal RNA", at positions 28 to 507 of the family's 1533-position model. The record is from RNAcentral.
GAUGAACGCUAGCGAUAGGCUUAACACAUGCAAGUCGAGGGGCAGCACAAGGUAGCUUGCUAUCUGGGUGGCGACCGGCGCACGGGUGCGUAACGCGUAUGCAACUUGCCCUAUACAGGAGGAUAACCCGUCGAAAGACGGACUAAUACUGCGUAUGCUCACAACUUGGCAUCAAGUGGUGAGGAAAGAAAUUCGGUAUAGGAUAGGCAUGCGUCCCAUUAGCUUGUUGGUGAGGUAACGGCUCACCAAGGCAACGAUGGGUAGGGGAACUGAGAGGUUUAUCCCCCACACUGGUACUGAGACACGGACCAGACUCCUACGGGAGGCAGCAGUGAGGAAUAUUGGUCAAUGGGCGCGAGCCUGAACCAGCCAAGUCGCGUGAAGGAGGACUGUCUUAUGGAUUGUAACCUUCUUUUAGACGGGAAUAACAAGAGUCACGUGUGACUCCCUGCAUGUACCGGAUGAAUAAGCAUCGGCUAACUCCGUG